UACGUAGGGUGCAAGCGUUAUCCGGAAUUAUUGGGCGUAAAGAGCUCGUAGGCGGUUUGUCGCGUCUGCUGUGAAAACUGGAGGCUCAACCUCCAGCCUGCAGUGGGUACGGGCAGACUAGAGUGCGGUAGGGGAGAUUGGAAUUCCUGGUGUAGCGGUGGAAUGCGCAGAUAUCAGGAGGAACACCGAUGGCGAAGGCAGAUCUCUGGGCCGUAACUGACACUGAGAAGCGAAAGGCAUGGGGAGCGAACAGG
RNAcentral lists this ribosomal RNA (254 nucleotides) under uncultured bacterium. RNAcentral's name for it is "partial 16S ribosomal RNA". It matches the Rfam family "Bacterial small subunit ribosomal RNA", at positions 524 to 776 of the family's 1533-position model. The record is from RNAcentral.